This 468-nucleotide ribosomal RNA is filed under the name uncultured bacterium. RNAcentral's name for it is "partial 16S ribosomal RNA". It matches the Rfam family "Bacterial small subunit ribosomal RNA", at positions 28 to 507 of the family's 1533-position model. The record is from RNAcentral.
GACGAACGCUGGCGGCGUGCUUAACACAUGCAAGUCGAACGGAAAGGCCCUGCUUUUGUGGGGUGCUCGAGUGGCGAACGGGUGAGUAACACGUGAGUAACCUGCCCUUGACUUUGGGAUAACUUCAGGAAACUGGGGCUAAUACCGGAUAGGAGCUCCUGCUGCAUGGAGGGGGUUGGAAAGUUUCGGCGGUUGGGGAUGGACUCGCGGCUUAUCAGCUUGUUGGUGGGGUAGUGGCUUACCAAGGCUUUGACGGGUAGCCGGCCUGAGAGGGGGACCGGCCACAUUGGGACUAAGAUACGGCCCAGACUCCUACGGGAGGCAGCAGUGGGGAAUAUUGCACAAUGGGCGGAAGCCUGAUGCAGCAACGCCGCGUGCGGGAUGACGGCCUUCGGGUUGUAAACCGCUUUCGCCUGUGACGAAGCGUGAGUGACGGUAAUGGGUAAAGAAGCACCGGCUAACUACGUG